UACGUAGGGGGCAAGCGUUGUCCGGAUUUAUUGGGUGUAAAGAGCUCGUAGGUGGUUCGGUAAGUCGGAUGUGAAAUCUCCAGGCUCAACCUGGAGGGGUCAUUCGAUACUGCCGUGACUAGAGUUCGGUAGGGGAGUGUGGAAUUCCUGGUGGAGCGGUGAAAUGCGCAGAUAUCAGGAGGAACACCCGUAGCGAAGGCGGCACUCUGGGCCGAUACUGACACUGAGGAGCGAAAGCGUGGGGAGCGAACAGG
This 254-nucleotide ribosomal RNA is filed under the name uncultured bacterium. RNAcentral's name for it is "partial 16S ribosomal RNA". It matches the Rfam family "Bacterial small subunit ribosomal RNA", at positions 524 to 776 of the family's 1533-position model. The record is from RNAcentral.